RNAcentral lists this ribosomal RNA (252 nucleotides) under uncultured bacterium. Its description in RNAcentral is "partial 16S ribosomal RNA". It matches the Rfam family "Bacterial small subunit ribosomal RNA", at positions 524 to 776 of the family's 1533-position model. The record is from RNAcentral.
UACGUAGGUGGCGAGCGUUAUCCGGAAUGAUUGGGCGUAAAGGGUGCGUAGGCGGCCUGCUAAGUCUGGAGUGAAAGGUACCGGCUCAACCGGUACAGGCUCUGGAAACUGGUAGACUUGAGUGCAGGAGAGGAGAGUGGAAUUCCAUGUGUAGCGGUGAAAUGCGUAGAUAUAUGGAGGAACACCGGUGGCGAAAGCGGCUCUCUGGCCUGUAACUGACACUGAGGCUCGAAAGCGUGGGGAGCAAAUAGG